GCGUCGGCUGGGCAUUGGUGAGCCCUGGUGGCCGUAACCCACCCGCCUUCAGGCUGUGGCGGUUCAACUCCGUCCCGACGCAC
Molecule: transfer RNA, 83 nt
Filed under: Planctomyces sp. SH-PL14
Lineage: Bacteria; Pseudomonadati; Planctomycetota; Planctomycetia; Planctomycetales; Planctomycetaceae
Description: tRNA-Tyr
Source: RNAcentral